UACACGCUGUGACUAGCAUAUCAAUAAGCGGAGGAAAAGAAACUAACAAGGAUUCCCCUAGUAACGGCGAGUGAAGCGGGAAGAGCUCAAAUUUGAAAUCUUAAAGGGUUUCCCUUUACGAAUUGUAGUUUAAAGAAGUGUUUUCUGUUGAGGUUUUGGUAAAAGUUCUUUGGAAUAGGACAUCAUAGAGGGUGAGAAUCCCGUAUUUGACCUUUACUUUCAACUUUGUGAUACACUUUCAAAGAGUCGGAUUGUUUGGGAAUGCAGUCCAAAAUGGGUGGUAAAUUUCAUCUAAAGCUAAAUAUUGGCGAGAGACCGAUAGCGAACAAGUACCGUGAGGGAAAGAUGAAAAGAACUUUGAAAAGAGAGUUAAACAGUACGUGAAAUUGUCAAAAGGGAAGCGUUUGACACCAGUGUUGUUUUUCUGAAAAUCAAUUAAAGAACUGUUUAUGCUAAGCUGUUUAGACUUUAUCAGCUAAUCUGUUUAGUUUUGAGCUUUUCUUUAAUGCACUUUUCAGUUAACAAGUCAACAUCAAUUUCUUUUGCUGUAAAAAAGCUUGAGGAAGGUGGCUUGAGAUUCGUCUUAAGUGUUUAUAGCCUCUUGCCUAUGCAGUCGGAGAGAUUGAGGUCUGCAGGCGUAGAUCCUUCGGGGCUAAAUGCAUUUGUGCUAAGUUAUAGCAUUUUAUAGACAACUUGUUGACUAUGAUUUGUCUUGUAGCUUACUCGCUUAUGUUAUUUUACCUACGCUUAGGAUGUUGACGAGACUGUCGAUCUCAUCUAUACAUGACUCUGUGCAUAUCAAUAAGCGGAGGAAAAGGAUAUCAGGGCGAUACCUACGCUUAGGAUGUUGACGAGACUGUCGAUCUC
This 867-nucleotide ribosomal RNA is filed under the name uncultured Neocallimastigales. RNAcentral's name for it is "partial large subunit ribosomal RNA". It matches the Rfam family "Eukaryotic large subunit ribosomal RNA", at positions 22 to 646 of the family's 3401-position model. The record is from RNAcentral. Lineage: Eukaryota; Fungi; Neocallimastigomycota; Neocallimastigomycetes; Neocallimastigales.